RNAcentral lists this ribosomal RNA (536 nucleotides) under Miichthys miiuy (Mi-iuy croaker). Its description in RNAcentral is "partial 16S ribosomal RNA". It matches the Rfam family "Bacterial large subunit ribosomal RNA", at positions 602 to 1346 of the family's 2925-position model. Lineage: Eukaryota; Metazoa; Chordata; Actinopteri; Sciaenidae. The record is from RNAcentral.
UACCUUUUGCAUCAUGAUUUAGCCAGAAAAUCUCAAGCAAAGAGCACUUUAGUUUGAUUCCCCGAAACUACGUGAGCUACUCCAAGACAGCCUAACAUAGGGCAAACCCGUCUCUGUGGCAAAAGAGUGGGAAGAGCUUUGAGUAGAGGUGACAGACCUACCGAACCUAGUUAUAGCUGGUUGCCUGAGAAAUGAAUAGAAGUUCAGCCUAUCGGAUUCUUCCCUCACCUUUAUAAUUUUUACAACAACCAAAAGAAACCGAAAGAGUUAGUCAAAGGGGGUACAGCCCCUUUGACACAAGACACAACUUUUCCAGGAGGGUAAAGAUCAUACUCAAACACCAAGGUAAGAUGUUUUGGUGGGCCUAAAAGCAGCCACCCCUACAGAAUGCGUUAAAGCUCAAACAUACCUACCACCCAUAAUCCUGACAACCCUAUCUUAACCCCCUAACCCUACCAGGCCAUCCCAUGCAAACAUGGGAGUGACCAUGCUAAUAUGAGUAAUAAGAGAGCAUUAGCCUCUCUCCCUGCACAAGU